RNAcentral lists this ribosomal RNA (462 nucleotides) under uncultured bacterium. Its description in RNAcentral is "SSU rRNA". It matches the Rfam family "Bacterial small subunit ribosomal RNA", at positions 26 to 518 of the family's 1533-position model. The record is from RNAcentral.
AGAAUCAACGCUGGCGGCGUGCCUAACACAUGCAAGUCGAACGAGAAAGUGGGAGCAAUCCCACGAGUAAAGUGGCGCACGGGUGAGUAACACGUGACUAACCUACCCUUGAGUGGGGGAUAACCUAGGGAAACCUGGGCUAAUACCGCAUAAUACCUACGGGUCAAAGGAGCAAUUCGCUUUAGGAGGGGGUCGCGGCAGAUUAGUUAGUUGGCGGGGUAAUGGCCCACCAAGACAGUGAUCUGUAUCCGGCCUGAGAGGGCGCACGGACACACUGGAACUGAAACACGGUCCAGACUCCUACGGGAGGCAGCAGUGGGGAAUUUGCGCAAUGGGGGAAACCCUGACGCAGCAACGCCGCGUGGAGGAUGAAGCCCCUUGGGGCGUAAACUCCUUUCGAUCGGGAAGAUAAUGACGGUACCGGAAGAAGAAGCCCCGGCUAACUUCGCGCCAGCAGCCCGC